RNAcentral lists this ribosomal RNA (429 nucleotides) under uncultured bacterium. Its description in RNAcentral is "bacterial SSU rRNA". It matches the Rfam family "Bacterial small subunit ribosomal RNA", at positions 355 to 776 of the family's 1533-position model. The record is from RNAcentral.
UGGGGAAUCUUGCGCAAUGCGCGAAAGCGUGACGCAGCAACGCCGCGUGGGGGAAGAAGGCCUUCGGGUUGUAAACCCCUUUCAGGAGGGACGAAGGGCCGGCGGCGAAUAGCCUGCCGGUCUGACGGUACCUCCAGAAGAAGCCCCGGCUAACUACGUGCCAGCAGCCGCGGUAAUACGUAGGGGGCUAGCGUUGUCCGGAAUCAUUGGGCGUAAAGCGCGCGUAGGCGGCCCGGUAAGUCCGCUCUGAAAGUCAAAGGCUCAACCUUUGAAAGCGGGUGGAUACUGUCGGGCUAGAGUCCGGAAGAGGCGAGUGGAAUUCCUGGUGUAGCGGUGGAAUGCGCAGAUAUCAGGAGGAACACCAACGGCGAAGGCAGCUCGCUGGGACGGUACUGACGCUGAGGCGCGAAAGCGUGGGGAGCGAACAGG